CCCAAUCAGAAUCUGCAUUGUAUUAUCAUAGCCUGUCACCAUGAUUAAGAUGCUCGUUCUUAUCGGUCUGCUCUGCCUUGCUGCCAUGGUGAUGACGCAAGACCUCCAAGGUUCUUAUUGCUUAGACAAAGGAGAAGACUGUAAGUUAAAUGGGAGGUUCGAGUGUUGUCGAAGGUUGGUCUGCAGAAAAAAGCUAAUAGGCAGAGGCCGUUCAUGCCAAAGGAAGUAAUAAAAAUGAUUGUGCACGGAGGGGUGAUCGUUUUCCGAGGAAUGGCUGCAGGUAACACCGCAGAUCAAAUCGGAAGGCUUCUCAAGAGACAAACAGGUCCUACGAUGCAGAGCUGAAAUUACCUCCCCUACAGUUUACAACUCAUACAUGAAAAAGAAAACAGUUUUAAACUGUAUUCAAAUAUAGCGAGCUUAA
Gigantopelta aegis is the source of this 424-nucleotide long non-coding RNA. RefSeq lists it as uncharacterized. The record is from RefSeq and is a predicted model, not a curated record. Lineage: Eukaryota; Metazoa; Mollusca; Gastropoda; Neomphalida; Peltospiridae. The transcript is spliced from 4 exons.